RNAcentral lists this transfer RNA (76 nucleotides) under Thermocladium modestius. RNAcentral describes it as "tRNA-Gln". It matches the Rfam family "tRNA". From Rfam's summary of the family: Transfer RNA (tRNA) molecules are approximately 80 nucleotides in length. Their secondary structure includes four short double-helical elements and three loops (D, anti-codon, and T loops). The record is from RNAcentral. Lineage: Archaea; Thermoproteati; Thermoproteota; Thermoprotei; Thermoproteales; Thermoproteaceae.
AGCCGGGUCGUCUAGUGGUCAAGGAUGGUGGGCUUUGGACCCAUCGACCCCGGUUCGAAUCCGGGCCCGGCUACCA